This 489-nucleotide long non-coding RNA is filed under the name Nicotiana benthamiana. RNAcentral's name for it is "long non-coding RNA (NBEN_LNC021068)". Lineage: Eukaryota; Viridiplantae; Streptophyta; Magnoliopsida; Solanales; Solanaceae. The record is from RNAcentral.
GGAGAGAUCUUAGCCUGUAGGGUUAUUCUUACCCUUGGCCUUCUUCUCCUCGUUUUCAUUGGGUCACUGCACUAAAGCUAAGGAUUUAUUUUCUUAGUUACAUGAGUUCGAUCCCUUUCUUGUCCUCUUCAAUCUUUGAAAGCUCAGCCAAUCCGAGAGUUUGUUUAAGAGUCUUUCUAUGGGAAUAAAGAGAGGGUACUGAUCACUAGCCGAAUCUGCUACUGUAGGAAAGAAGAUCUAUGUGACCAAAUUUUCCUGUGAUUUGUUGAUUCACAUCGAUAAAACCAGUUGUGUGCCACAUACAUGGCACGAAUCCCGAGUUUCCUCUUACCGAUAGGCAUCAAUCCAAGUCGCUGAGGGACUUAACUAGGAGUUCCCCUCUGGACCUGAGAGAAGAGAAGGUUCGCGAUCCAACACAGAUUAUAAAUCAAUAUGCAUUGAAUGAUGGUCCAUUCCCUGGAAAAUUAGGGUAAGCCAAAGGUUCUGUUC